Molecule: long non-coding RNA, 118 nt
Organism: Salvelinus sp. IW2-2015
Lineage: Eukaryota; Metazoa; Chordata; Actinopteri; Salmoniformes; Salmonidae
Source: RefSeq, a predicted model, not a curated record
CCUGUACUCUGGGGGCUCGCCUGCCAGGGAGAGCAGGGUGUCAGUUAUGUUCUGGAGCUCAUGAGAGAUGAGCUACACCUGGCGAUGGCCCUGGCAGGAUGUUGUUCGCUGGUGGAGG